UACGAAGGGUGCAAGCGUUAAUCGGAAUUACUGGGCGUAAAGGGUGCGUAGGCGGUUUGUUAAGUCUGUUGUGAAAUCCCCGGGCUCAACCUGGGAAUGGCAAUGGAUACUGGCAAGCUAGAGUGUGUCAGAGGAUGGUGGAAUUCCCGGUGUAGCGGUGAAAUGCGUAGAGAUCGGGAGGAACAUCAGUGGCGAAGGCGGCCAUCUGGGACAACACUGACGCUGAAGCACGAAAGCGUGGGGGGAGCAAACAGGAUUAGAUACCCUGGUAGUCCACGCCCUAAACGAUGCGAACUGGAUGUUGGUCUCAACUCGGAGAUCAGUGUCGAAGCUAACGCGUUAAGUUCGCCGCCUGGGGAGUACGGUCGCAAGACUGAAACU
RNAcentral lists this ribosomal RNA (381 nucleotides) under uncultured bacterium. Its description in RNAcentral is "bacterial SSU rRNA". It matches the Rfam family "Bacterial small subunit ribosomal RNA", at positions 524 to 901 of the family's 1533-position model. The record is from RNAcentral.